RNAcentral lists this ribosomal RNA (460 nucleotides) under uncultured bacterium. Its description in RNAcentral is "partial 16S ribosomal RNA". It matches the Rfam family "Bacterial small subunit ribosomal RNA", at positions 338 to 795 of the family's 1533-position model. The record is from RNAcentral.
CCUACGGGAGGCAGCAGUGAGGAAUAUUGGUCAAUGGGCGGAAGACUGAACCAGCCAAGUAGCGUGCAGGAUGACGGCCCUACGGGUUGUAAACUGCUUUUAUACGGGAAUAACGUGCGUUACGUGUAGGGUUUUGCAUGUACCGCAUGAAUAAGGACCGGCUAAUUCCGUGCCAGCAGCCGCGGUAAUACGGAAGGUCCGGGCGUUAUCCGGAUUUAUUGGGUUUAAAGGGAGCGUAGGCCGCAUGUCAAGCGUGCUGUGAAAUGGCUGGGCUCAACCCGGGCCUUGCAGCGCGAACUGGCGUGCUUGAGUCCGCGGAAAGCAGGCGGAAUUCGUGGUGUAGCGGUGAAAUGCUUAGAUAUCACGAAGAACCCCGAUUGCGAAGGCAGCUUGCUGCAGCGCAACUGACGCUGAUGCUCGAAGGCGCGGGUAUCGAACAGGAUUAGAUACCCGAGUAGUC